GACGAACGCUGGCGGCGUGCUUAACACAUGCAAGUGGAGCGACGAACCGGUCUUCGGACCGGGGCAGAGCCGCGAACGGGUGAGUAACACGUGGGUAACCCACCCCGAUGACCGGGACAACCCGAGGAAACUCGGGCUAAUACCGGGAUGAGCUCUCAUCUCUUGAGAGAUGUGAGGAAAGAUAGCUUCGGCCUUCGCAUCGGGACGGGCCCGCGGCCCAUUAGCUUGUUGGUGGGGUAACGGCCACCAAGGCGACGAUGGGUAGCUGGUCUGAGAGGACGAUCAGCCACACUGGGACUGAGACACGGCCCAGACUCCUACGGGAGGCAGCAGUGGGGAAUCUUGCACAAUGCGCGAAAGCGUGAUGCAGCAACGCCGCGUGGGGAAGAA
Molecule: ribosomal RNA, 390 nt
Filed under: uncultured bacterium
Lineage: Bacteria
Description: bacterial SSU rRNA
Rfam family: Bacterial small subunit ribosomal RNA
Source: RNAcentral